CUCAGCGUCAAGAGUGAUUUUGCUGAACUUUUUAAGUUGACACUAUGCACAGCACUGUGAGCUCUGCCUUGGAAGUUCCAAGUAAAAAGCCUUCUGCAUGCCUGAACUGGAUGGGGGUGGAAUAUCUGCACUCAUGCAGAGGGACACGGAAACUCUCAC
This is a long non-coding RNA of Haliotis rubra (blacklip abalone), 159 nucleotides long. RefSeq lists it as uncharacterized. The record is from RefSeq and is a predicted model, not a curated record. Lineage: Eukaryota; Metazoa; Mollusca; Gastropoda; Lepetellida; Haliotidae. The transcript is spliced from 3 exons.